Molecule: long non-coding RNA, 409 nt
Filed under: Nicotiana benthamiana
Lineage: Eukaryota; Viridiplantae; Streptophyta; Magnoliopsida; Solanales; Solanaceae
Description: long non-coding RNA (NBEN_LNC009024)
Source: RNAcentral
GGAUUACUAAAAUCGAUUACUGGUACUGACUUUACGUUAGGAUUAGGGUUAGAGUUAGGGUUUUCUCUUUGUGAUCUGCUUUCCGGUGGUUGUAUGUACUGAGAUGGUACUGACAUCUCACCCUUUUCUGCCAAUGAUUGUACUCUCAGAGCCUCCAUGAAUUUUAGCUAGUAAUUUAAAUACAGGGAUUAUUGGAAAAUUGCAGAUCAGUGGUUGAGGUCCGGCGAUUGGAGAGAAACGGCUACGAAAAUGGCCGUGCGCGGAGGAGGAAUUGAGACGUGAUGGUAACGGAGAAUCUGAAAUCAGUGAACUUUUUGUACGCUUGAGAAUUAUUUGUAUGGAAAGCUCCAUUUUUCCUUGUGUUUCCAAUUUAGCCCCAUAAACUUUUAAGUCAAGGGCAAAGAUCCCG